This 203-nucleotide unclassified non-coding RNA is filed under the name Hevea brasiliensis (rubber tree). The record is from RNAcentral. Lineage: Eukaryota; Viridiplantae; Streptophyta; Magnoliopsida; Malpighiales; Euphorbiaceae.
GGAGUGUGUCUGCAGGCAAAGAGGUUAAAAAUGCUAUUUCUAAGGAAAUUCCCGCCGCUAAGAUUGAUGCCAUGGAGUUGGAUCUCAGUUCAAUGGCAUCUGUGAGAAAAUUUGCAUCAGAGUACACUUCCUCGGGUCUUCCACUAAACCUUCUAAUUAACAAUGCAGGAAUAAUGGCGACUCCCUUCAUGCUUUCCAAAGAC